CAGAGUGUAGUUUAAUAAAUAAUAAUUUUGGAGAUUAUAGUAGGCUACUGUCCACUCUGA
This 60-nucleotide transfer RNA is filed under the name Metacrangonyx goulmimensis. RNAcentral's name for it is "transfer RNA Proline". Lineage: Eukaryota; Metazoa; Arthropoda; Malacostraca; Amphipoda; Metacrangonyctidae. The record is from RNAcentral.